Molecule: long non-coding RNA, 1940 nt
Filed under: Phasianus colchicus (ring-necked pheasant)
Lineage: Eukaryota; Metazoa; Chordata; Aves; Galliformes; Phasianidae
Description: lncRNA (ENSPCLG00000002749.1)
Source: RNAcentral
CAUAAUUGCUGCUGAUCAAAUGUCAGCAUGUCCGAGAACAAAUGGUUCUGUUUUGGAACAAAAUAAUAGGGAUUAAAACAAAGCAAAAAUCCAUAAACAGAAACAAAUAAGCAAUUGUAGGGAAAUAAAAUCUUUUUAUAAAAUAUUUUGAAAAAAAUGCAAAUAGUUAAUUUAGGAAUGCUUAAGACUGUCCUUAGGGUAUUUAACGUUCAAGGAUAGAUCCAAGGUCUUCUUGCUCCUUUACUGUCGGCCCCAUGACCCUGUAACAAAGAAAUUGUAUGAGAUUUAGAAACAUAGGGCUCUUGAGCCAAUGCACAAAAAAACCCAACUUUCUGGGGUUCCUACAGAUUCUGCUUAUUUAAAUACCUGAGGCCACGCAUGAACUUUUCCCCCUUUUCCUUCCUGUUGGGUCAAUCAGUAUGGAUUACCCAGAUUCAGGUUUUUAGGAUGCAUAAUUUGCUAAGCAAUGUCGACAGCUGGUAAAUUUGAUUUCAAUCUAAGCCUAUAGGCUAUUUCUGUUUCAUAAUUUAGAUGUGGUCUUUCAGUUUUAUGAUGCUCUGUGCAGUGCCUAGAUCAGAUUUUUGAAAACACUAAUUGCAGAAUAGUAAUGGUGCAGAAUCCUUCUCAUCUAUGACUCUUUAUUUUUAUUUUUAUUUUUUUAUUUUUUUUUUGUGCAAAGGCAAUUACUGUUUUUCUUUUAAACACCUCUGAAAUUUCUGUUCCAUUCCUACAAAUUAUGCAUGGAUAUGAACAUGAAAUAAAUUGUCAGUGAAUGGAGAUGAAGACACAGAACUCCUGUGUGUUUAAAAAAAAAAAAAAAAGCUUUUAAAGAUAAGAAAGAAGAAACCAUCACAACAGCAGCUGUCAAAAUGUGGAUUAUCAGUGCUGAUGACAUGAUGAUUAUGCAGUAUUUUUCUAGAUGGACACCUCAGCAUUUCACUGAUACACUGCAUAUCAGGUGUUGGUGCCCAGGUGCUGGCAAUGGGGAACUGAAGGACUGCUCUGUGAGGAGAUGCCAGGGUGGCCCUGUGCAGGAUGCAGCCAGUUCCAGAUGGAACCAACAGCCUCACAGCAAGGCACAGCUGAGCUUAGCAGUCAGGCUGAGGUGCCUCUGGUAAAAUGCAUUUAAGAAAGAGCAGAAAAAGCUGCAUAGGCAGUGACGAGUGAGGGAAAAUGUAUGAAAAGUAGUCUUGGGAAGACCAAUUUGAGAGAAGGGGGAGGAGGUGCACCAGGCACUGGAGGGAGAUAUGACCCUUGCAGCAGUUUGGUAUAUCCAUAAGGAAUGGAACUGCAGCCCCUGAGAAACUGCAGCACAUGAAGACAGCCCUGUGAUUCACUAGGCAAAAUGUGAUGAGGAAGCAGAGACAGAGGAGCUGUUACAGACUAGCCACAGCCUCUAUUAUCUAUCCCCGUGUGCUGCUCAGGAUGAGGGAUAGAGGAGGGAGAGAAAUCAGCAAUGAAGUUGAGACUGUUUUGUCUGUGCUGAUAACUUAUUAAGUGCUCCAUCCCUGUUUUAUCUGUGAACUUUUCCAUCUUAUUUCUUCCCUGGUCCUUUUGAGGAGGGAAAGUGAGAAGGAUGCUGGAUGAAUAUCUGGCUGCUGGCAAAGGCCAACCCCACCACACACUAAAAUACUGACCAGCCUCUCUUGUGUAAGAACUUUUUUCCCCAAAAUAUAUUUUUUGAUAGAUUUGUUGAUUAUAACUGCUGAUCUUACACUGUCUUAUCACUCCCCUCCUUUAUUCUGUUCUCUGUUUGUAACCUGUAUUUAUUUUAUUAUUGUGUGAUAGUUUGCAUGCUACAAGGAGCAUGCAAGCAUAUGCAGUUUCAUUUAGAAUUUAGGUGUUAGAAUCAAAUCUUGCUUUUGAACAUGGCCAGCCUUCUGCUUUAGACUUUAUUAGAGACAGUAUACAGCAUAGUAAUAAAAGUUUGCUCUGAUGCA